Apis florea (little honeybee) is the source of this 854-nucleotide long non-coding RNA. NCBI's taxonomy places the organism in Eukaryota, Metazoa, Arthropoda, Insecta, Hymenoptera, Apidae. The record is from RefSeq and is a predicted model, not a curated record.
UUUCGCAGAUGUGCAACGCCACUAAAAUGCCGGCGCAUGUCAUUCGGAUAAUCCGAUUAAUUAGGCGAUAGAUGUGCAUCAGCGCCGUCUGUCGUAUAUACCGAUAAAUUCUGAAAAACCAAUGAUUUAUAUUGACCACGUUGUUAACGCCGACAUUCGGUAGACGCCACACAGAAAACUAUAAAUAACUAGAAAAAAAGAAUUUCCUGAUCUCUAUAUAAUUUGAAAUGAUAAAUUUUUAUAAGAAAUUUCGUUUAUGCAGUUAUGAAUUUAACGAAAGAAAGAAUAUAUUAUUAUUCAAUAGCAAAAAAAUGAUCGUAUUGUCUAAAAAGAAAAGUGUCUUAUAAAAGAGUGUCUAGAGUGAAUGUUUCCCUUAUCAAAGAUAUACGUGAACGAACUAUGGCUAUGAUAAAAAAAACACAAACAAUAACCUGAGAAAAUUAUCUCAUCGUUAAGUAUUUGUGUGUUCUUCGGGUAUCUCUUGGAACAAGCUUCGAGUUAUUGGUUCUUCAUCGUAUCUUCCGGACUGCGAUGUCGCCGAUGGUGCAGAGAGAGAGCCAGGUUGAAGCAGAUCGAAAGCCAAUAGACCGCCUUAAAAUUCAAGAAGCGGCACCUGCCUCUUUUGCCUAUACGCCUUUCGAUAUAUCUCUUCAACGAGAUUGAAACAAGGAUAGAAGCGAUAAUUAAAAUGUAUUCCCAUGAACACAUGCCAUCAAUGCUUGUUUAAAUCAGCCUCGAGCGAAUAACAACAUAGAUACAAAAAUGGAAAAAAAGAAAUCAACCAGAUAAAACGUCAACGCAACAUUAUCUUAAAAAAACACAUCACAGCAAGACUUCCUCUUGGAAAGGAAAAA